Molecule: ribosomal RNA, 588 nt
Filed under: Mucor velutinosus
Lineage: Eukaryota; Fungi; Mucoromycota; Mucoromycetes; Mucorales; Mucoraceae
Description: eukaryotic LSU rRNA
Rfam family: Eukaryotic large subunit ribosomal RNA
Source: RNAcentral
CGGCCAGUGAAGAGGAAAGAGCUCAAAGUUGGAAACUGUUUGGCUUAGCUAAACCGUAUUGUAAACUGUAGAAACAUUUUCCUGGCACACCAGAUUAAUAAGUCCUUUGGAACAAGGCAUCAUGGAGGGUGAGAAUCCCGUCUUUGAUCUGAGUAGUUGUCUUUUGUGAUAUGUUUUCAAAGAGUCAGGUUGUUUGGGAAUGCAGCCUAAAUUGGGUGGUAAAUCUCACCUAAAGCUAAAUAUUUGCGAGAGACCGAUAGCGAACAAGUACCGUGAGGGAAAGAUGAAAAGAACUUUGAAAAGAGAGUUAAACAGUAUGUGAAAUUGUUAAAAGGGAACCGUUUGGAGCCAGACUGGUUUGACUGUAAUCAACCUAGAAUUCGUUUUGGGUGCACUUGCAGUCUAUACCUGCCAACAACAGUUUGAUUUGGAGGAAAAAAUUAGUAGGAAUGUGGCCUCUCGAGGUGUUAUAGCCUACUAUCAUACUCUGGAUUGGACUGAGGAACGCAGCGAAUGCCUUUAGGCGAGAUUGCUGGGUGCUUUCGCUAAUAAAUGUUAGAAUUUCUGCUUCGGGUGGUGCUAAUGUUU